This 1000-nucleotide long non-coding RNA is filed under the name Rhinopithecus bieti (black snub-nosed monkey). RNAcentral's name for it is "lncRNA (ENSRBIG00000045083.1)". The record is from RNAcentral. Lineage: Eukaryota; Metazoa; Chordata; Mammalia; Primates; Cercopithecidae.
UAGAAGAAACCUAAGACAUAGAAUGGAAAACAUCAGCUUUACAGAGGAAAGAAAGGACAAGAGCUGGGAACUCGGACAAUCAGGCUUCAUUAGAUGCCAGGACUGGCACACCAAAUCCACUGCAAAAUCAAGAAGAUGCAAGAUUAUUGCACUCUCAAAAUGUCAGAGUUUAAUUACUGAUCAUGGGACCCAGAGGAGCCAGGAAUUCAAAAGAAUUCAAAGGUGUUAAAGAAGAAAGGCAAACUACAAGCUAAGUGCUGAAACUAUCAAGAUGGACAAAAGUAUGUCAUAGAACUGGGUCAAUGAAUAAUGCACGACAGAAAGAAGAUGGUGAAAUGGAUAAGAAGGUGUUCAAAAUACAGGAAAAGUGAGGUGGAUCUGGCAAAGGCCAGAUCCCUGCAAAGGCCAUCUGCUGAAAGCCAGGACAGCACAGUCUUCCUACAGAGAUCUGAACAGAAACUGACAAAAGAAGUCCAAAGGCAAGUAGAAGGAGUCACAGCCUCUUCCCAGGAUCCUGGAAUUGCUCCAUGUCUACCUCCUAAACCUCCCCCUAUGCAGACACACACAUUCACACACACUACAUUUGACCCUCUCAUCUACCAGAGACAUACAGAAUUAUCUCCAACAAUCACUGCAAAAGUUAGAGCUCCAAGAGUUUCCCUCUAUGUUUUGUUUGUAGACAUAGAUAUUCACAACAAAAUGCACUUCUACAACAAAGAAACUCAUCGUUAUAAACUUAAGUGUCACAGGAGCUGGGCAAUUGCUUACAUCAGAUUAUUUUUAUGAUAACUGAAGGAGAUGGUUGAGUGUACAGUUUGAGUUCUUCUUCCUGGUUGGACAGAUUACAGUUCUAUUCCUAGAACUUUUCUGCAAAAGAACAAAGGUACAGAAUUCUCAUUUUUGUUCCUGAUAUUAAUAAUACUAUUCUCUGCUUUAAACAAACCUCAUCCUUCAAGGUCUCUCAAAUAUUUCAUCUUCAAUGCAGUUUUCCUUAAAGCCA